CGCGUAGGCGGCUUUUUAAGUCAGAUGUGUAAUCCCCGAGCUUAACUUGGGAACUGCAUCUGAGACUGGAAGGCUAGAGUACUGGAGAGGGUGGUGGAAUUCCUCGUGUAGCGGUGAAAUGCGUAGAGAUGAGGAGGAACACCAGUGGCGAAGGCGGCCACCUGGACAGUAACUGACGCUGAGGCGCGAAAGUGUGGGUAGCAAACAGGAUUAGAUACCCUGGUAGUCCACGCUGUAAACGAUGAACACUUGGUGUGGAGGGAGUUGACCCCUUCCGUGCCGGAGCUAACGCGUUAAGUGUUCCGCCUGGGGAGUACGGUCGCAAGGCUGAA
Molecule: ribosomal RNA, 332 nt
Filed under: uncultured bacterium
Lineage: Bacteria
Description: bacterial SSU rRNA
Rfam family: Bacterial small subunit ribosomal RNA
Source: RNAcentral